UAUUAAAAAUUUUAUUUAUUUUUAUUGUUAAAAAGCGAAGUUGUUGACAAAAUAGUCAGGUAAUAACACAUAGUAUGUCACAUGCGCCUCAUUUUGAAAUACAUGAAUUGAUUUUUAACAGUAAAAAUCAUUUGAAUUUUUAAUG
This 145-nucleotide microRNA precursor is filed under the name Gossypium arboreum. Its description in RNAcentral is "MIR7502 microRNA precursor family". It matches the Rfam family "MIR7502 microRNA precursor family". Lineage: Eukaryota; Viridiplantae; Streptophyta; Magnoliopsida; Malvales; Malvaceae. The record is from Rfam by way of RNAcentral.